RNAcentral lists this ribosomal RNA (548 nucleotides) under Vibrio sp. UST020129-021. RNAcentral's name for it is "bacterial SSU rRNA". It matches the Rfam family "Bacterial small subunit ribosomal RNA", at positions 453 to 998 of the family's 1533-position model. Lineage: Bacteria; Pseudomonadati; Pseudomonadota; Gammaproteobacteria; Vibrionales; Vibrionaceae. The record is from RNAcentral.
CGUUAAUAGCGUUAGUGUUUGACGUUAGCGACAGAAGAAGCACCGGCUAACUCCGUGCCAGCAGCCGCGGUAAUACGGAGGGUGCGAGCGUUAAUCGGAAUUACUGGGCGUAAAGCGCAUGCAGGUGGUUUGUUAAGUCAGAUGUGAAAGCCCGGGGCUCAACCUCGGAACCGCAUUUGAAACUGGCAGGCUAGAGUACUGUAGAGGGGGGUAGAAUUUCAGGUGUAGCGGUGAAAUGCGUAGAGAUCUGAAGGAAUACCGGUGGCGAAGGCGGCCCCCUGGACAGAUACUGACACUCAGAUGCGAAAGCGUGGGGAGCAAACAGGAUUAGAUACCCUGGUAGUCCACGCCGUAAACGAUGUCUACUUGGAGGUUGUGGCCUUGAGCCGUGGCUUUCGGAGCUAACGCGUUAAGUAGACCGCCUGGGGAGUACGGUCGCAAGAUUAAAACUCAAAUGAAUUGACGGGGGCCCGCACAAGCGGUGGAGCAUGUGGUUUAAUUCGAUGCAACGCGAAGAACCUUACCUACUCUUGACAUCCAGAGAACUU